CAAUCACAUUCCAUUCCAUAUCCUUUCUUUAGCAAAACCUCUGGUGCAAUGUAGUCAGGUGUUCCAACAGUAGAAUAAGCAAGCAUCCUCCGAUUCCUCUGCCAAUGCUGCAAUUGCUCCUGUUGUGUGCGCUUUGGUGCUGCAGGGCGUCCAUCACUCUGAAGAGCUCCACUAAGGUGACUUCCAAGUGAAAAAUCCUUCUCUUGGAGAUUACUGCAAUCUAAUGGUUUACACAAUCCAAAAUCUGAUAACUUCAUGUGACCAUGUCUAUCAAGUAGCAAGUUAUCAGGUUUGAUAUCUCUAUGAAUAUAAUUAUGUUUAUGGAUAGACUCAAUAGCCAGGACAGUUUCUCCGACAUAAAACCUUGCCUCAUCCUCACUUAGUGUAUCCUUGCGCAUUAGCAAAGUCAUCAUAUCUCCACCAGGUAGAUA
This 431-nucleotide unclassified non-coding RNA is filed under the name Hevea brasiliensis (rubber tree). The record is from RNAcentral. Lineage: Eukaryota; Viridiplantae; Streptophyta; Magnoliopsida; Malpighiales; Euphorbiaceae.